CGGGUGAGUAACACGUGAGUAACCUGCCCUUAACUCUGGGAUAAGCCUGGGAAACUGGGUCUAAUACCGGAUAUGACUCCUCAUCGCAUGGUGGGGGGUGGAAAGCUUUAUUGUGGUUUUGGAUGGACUCGCGGCCUAUCAGCUUGUUGGUGAGGUAAUGGCUCACCAAGGCGACGACGGGUAGCCGGCCUGAGAGGGUGACCGGCCACACUGGGACUGAGACACGGCCCAGACUCCUACGGGAGGCAGCAGUGGGGAAUAUUGCACAAUGGGCGAAAGCCUGAUGCAGCGACGCCGCGUGAGGGAUGACGGCCUUCGGGUUGUAAACCUCUUUCAGUAGGGAAGAAGCGAAAGUGACGGUACCUGCAGAAGAAGCGCCGGCUAACUACGUGCCAGCAGCCGCGGUAAUACGUAGGGCGCAAGCGUUAUCCGGAAUUAUUGGGCGUAAAGAGCUCGUAGGCGGUUUGUCGCGUCUGCCGUGAAAGUCCGGGGCUCAACUCCGGAUCUGCGGUGGGUACGGGCAGACUAGAGUGAUGUAGGGGAGACUGGAAUUCCUGGUGUAGCGGUGAAAUGCGCAGAUAUCAGGAGGAACACCGAUGGCGAAGGCAGGUCUCUGGGCAUUAACUGACGCUGAGGAGCGAAAGCAUGGGGAGCGAACAGGAUUAGAUACCCUGGUAGUCCAUGCCGUAAACGUUGGGCACUAGGUGUGGGGGGACAUUCCACGUUUUCCGCGCCGUAGCUAACGCAUUAAGUGCCCCGCCUGGGGAGUACGGCCGCAAGGCUAAAACUCAAAGGAAUUGACGGGGGCCCGCACAAGCGGCGGAGCAUGCGGAUUAAUUCGAUGCAACGCGAAGAACCUUACCAAGGCUUGACAUGAACCGGAAAUACCUGGAAACAGGUGCCCCGCUUGCGGUCGGUUUACAGGUGGUGCAUGGUUGUCGUCAGCUCGUGUCGUGAGAUGUUGGGUUAAGUCCCGCAACGAGCGCAACCCUCGUUCUAUGUUGCCAGCGCGUUAUGGCGGGGACUCAUAGGAGACUGCCGGGGUCAACUCGGAGGAAGGUGGGGACGACGUCAAAUCAUCAUGCCCCUUAUGUCUUGGGCUUCACGCAUGCUACAAUGGCCGGUACAAAGGGUUGCGAUACUGUGAGGUGGAGCUAAUCCCAAAAAGCCGGUCUCAGUUCGGAUUGGGGUCUGCAACUCGACCCCAUGAAGUCGGAGUCGCUAGUAAUCGCAGAUCAGCAACGCUGCGGUGAAUACGUUCCCGGGCCUUGUACACACCGCCCGUCAAGUCACGAAAGUUGGUAACACCCGAAGCCGGUGGCCUAACCCCUUGUG
This 1335-nucleotide ribosomal RNA is filed under the name Arthrobacter sp. PF2M1. RNAcentral describes it as "bacterial SSU rRNA". It matches the Rfam family "Bacterial small subunit ribosomal RNA", at positions 103 to 1445 of the family's 1533-position model. Lineage: Bacteria; Bacillati; Actinomycetota; Actinomycetes; Micrococcales; Micrococcaceae. The record is from RNAcentral.